RNAcentral lists this ribosomal RNA (378 nucleotides) under uncultured bacterium. RNAcentral's name for it is "bacterial SSU rRNA". It matches the Rfam family "Bacterial small subunit ribosomal RNA", at positions 527 to 907 of the family's 1533-position model. The record is from RNAcentral.
GAAGGGGGCUAGCGUUGUUCGGAAUUACUGGGCGUAAAGGGCGCGUAGGCGGCGCGUUAAGUCAGAUGUGAAAGCCCUGGGCUCAACCCAGGAAUUGCAUUUGAUACUGACGUGCUUGAAUCCGGAAGAGGAUGACGGAAUUCCCAGUGUAGAGGUGAAAUUCAUUGAUAUUGGGAAGAACACCAGUGGCGAAGGCGGUCAUCUGGUCCGGUAUUGACGCUGAGGCGCGAAAGCGUGGGGAGCAAACAGGAUUAGAUACCCUGGUAGUCCACGCCGUAAACGAUGAGUGCUAGACGUCGGGGGGUUGCCUCUCGGUGUCGCCGCUAACGCAUUAAGCACUCCGCCUGGGGAGUACGGCCGCAAGGUUAGACUGGGACG